UUCAACCCAUGGGAACAAAAACCGUGAAUUACAUUCCUUCCAAUCCGAAAAACGUUUCAGCUCCUAGCACCUUCAAUGCCGAGAAUGCCUCCUUGCAAUGUGACGACUCCACCCUUUUCCCUAGGGCCUAGUGUCAUCCCAUGUAAGGGUGGGGUCCACCCUAAAGGAAACCCUAGGUUGACAAGUGUCUUAGACUAUUGGGUCCAUCACAAAAUUUAAUGGCCCAAUGUGCAAAAGUUUAUCCAAAAAGUUUAAACACUUAAAUUACAAUACAACUAAAAUUUUAGAUGUUUAAUUUGAGAGUCUUGAAUUUAUUUUUGUCUCCUUCCCAAUGCUCCAAAUUGUGUUUCCAAAAUUUUCCCUGAAAAUAAUAAUGCAAAUAAUUAGCUCAGAAAAUUCAAAUUAAUUAAAAUUAGAAUUUCCGGUCAAAUUAAGCAUAACUAGAAAAACGGAAAAAUACCGGACAAUUAAGCACAAUUCCCUGAUUAAUUCUAGCACAAUAAACUAAGUGAAAUCAAUAAAAUAUCGACUCAUCAGUGGUUCACAAUGUGAAUGAAACGCUUUUGAACAUAAGAAAUUGUUUCUCUAGGUUGCAUUCUGAACAUCUCAUAUUCCUGAAUGAAAGUGUUCUUCCUUGUGCGUUUUACAUCCUCUGUUCCUUCGUGAGUGACCUUGAGAACUUCCCACAUUUCCUGUGUUGUCUUACACACUGAAAUUCUAUAGAAUUCAUCAAGUACAAUAGCAGAUGAAAUAAUAUUGCGAGCUUUAAUAUCAAACUAAGCUCGUCUAUCUUCUUCAGCAGUCCAAUUAAAAUAUGGUUUUUCUACUUCUACACCAUCAACUGUGCUCUUAGGAAUAUAAGAACCAUUUUGUACAGCUUCCUAGAUGCCUCCAUAAAAAUUUCCAUUCUGACUUUCUAGAAGGCAUAGUUAUCACCAGUAAAAAGUGGUGGUCUGUUAAUAGAAGCACCCUCGGCAUAUACAAGGUUUUGGUUGUGACCAGCCAUUUUCGCAAAUUUUGAAAAACUAUCAAAGCAAGCUCUGAUACCAAUUGUCGGUACCAGCGGGGUAUGGUUUGAAAAGUAUAACGCAGUGGAAUUAAACUUACAGUAAGCGGAAAACGUGUUCAGUCACUUUUUAAAAUAAGUUGGUCCUUUUUUAAAAUCAAUUUUCUUUCAGAAAAUUUAUCAAACAGUUGAUAUGCGCAAACAGUAAAUAGUGUAGGGAACAGAAAACCACACAAGUAUUUUUAUACUGGUUCGAUUAAACAGAAUCUACGUUCAGUCGUUGAUCACUGUAAAGAGUGAUUAAUAGUUCUACUGAAAAAUAUUUCACAGAUUACAAUAGACAGUGAAAAAAGAACUGAUAAAUAUAAACCUUCCUUCGACGAACAAACCGGAAGAAGAACACUCAGCCAACUCGAAGAGAACCGCUCCGGCAAUCGACCAACGAUUCGCGAGCUUCUCCUAUUCACAAGAGCAAACAAGGGAACUUUGAACUCUAGCUUCUGAGAACUUCCUCUGAUAAACAGUAUAGUAUAUCAGCUGAACAUGUAACACUGGAACUUAUGUACUGUUAUUAAGCAGUGUGUUGUCAUCAUCAAAAACCAGUUUGAUAUAGAGUUUGUGUUGUCAAC
This 1635-nucleotide long non-coding RNA is filed under the name Vigna radiata. RNAcentral describes it as "long non-coding RNA (VRAD_LNC015837)". Lineage: Eukaryota; Viridiplantae; Streptophyta; Magnoliopsida; Fabales; Fabaceae. The record is from RNAcentral.